This 641-nucleotide ribosomal RNA is filed under the name uncultured bacterium. Its description in RNAcentral is "bacterial SSU rRNA". It matches the Rfam family "Bacterial small subunit ribosomal RNA", at positions 81 to 718 of the family's 1533-position model. The record is from RNAcentral.
UGCUUCUCUUGAGAGCGGCGGACGGGUGAGUAAUGCCUAGGAAUCUGCCUGGUAGUGGGGGAUAACGUUCGGAAACGGACGCUAAUACCGCAUACGUCCUACGGGAGAAAGCAGGGGACCUUCGGGCCUUGCGCUAUCAGAUGAGCCUAGGUCGGAUUAGCUAGUUGGUGGGGUAAUGGCUCACCAAGGCGACGAUCCGUAACUGGUCUGAGAGGAUGAUCAGUCACACUGGAACUGAGACACGGUCCAGACUCCUACGGGAGGCAGCAGUGGGGAAUAUUGGACAAUGGGCGAAAGCCUGAUCCAGCCAUGCCGCGUGUGUGAAGAAGGUCUUCGGAUUGUAAAGCACUUUAAGUUGGGAGGAAGGGUUGUAGAUUAAUACUCUGCAAUUUUGACGUUACCGACAGAAUAAGCACCGGCUAACUCUGUGCCAGCAGCCGCGGUAAUACAGAGGGUGCAAGCGUUAAUCGGAAUUACUGGGCGUAAAGCGCGCGUAGGUGGUUUGUUAAGUUGGAUGUGAAAUCCCCGGGCUCAACCUGGGAACUGCAUUCAAAACUGACUGACUAGAGUAUGGUAGAGGGUGGUGGAAUUUCCUGUGUAGCGGUGAAAUGCGUAGAUAUAGGAAGGAACACCAGUGGCGA